UACUGGUUCACGUUCAUGAGAAGUGAGCGAUGAAUACAAUAGGCAGAACUAGAGGGGCCCUGCCUCCAGCCCGGUGGAGGAAAGGGAUCGUCAGUUAUUGGACUGUGUGGAUUUGCAGGCCCCGCAGAUCGGAACCAAAAAGAGCAGCUCCAAAUUGGGAAGAUAUGGAUUUGAUGGGUAGACUGUUGGAUGGACUGGCUGCAAGAUCGCAUGCACAGAGUGGUGGUCAAGGGCUCCAUGUCCGGGUGGAGACCAGUGGUGUCCCUCAGGUGGUCAGUACUGGAACCAGUGCUCUUUAACGUCUUCAUCAAUGACAUCAACACUGGGAUUGAGUGCCCCCUCAGAUUUGCAGGUGACCCCAAGCUGCAUGGUGCAGCCCGCACGUCCAAAGGAUGGGAUGCGAACAGAGAGACAUGCUGAGCAGUGGGCCCAGAGGAAGCUCAUGAGGUUGAAUGAAUCCGGGUGCAAGGCCUGCACCUGGGUCAUGGCAGCCCCCUGCUUUCAGUACAAGCUGGGGGAUGUAAGGAUGGAGCACAGCCCUGCCAAAAAGGACCUGAGGGUACUGAUGGAUGGCAACUGGGCAUGAGCCAGCAGAGUGCCCUCAGCCCAGAAAGCCUGCCAUACCCUGGGCAGCAUCCGAAGCAGCGCGGCCAGCAGGGUGAGGGAGGGGAUCUGCCCCUCUGCACUGUGAGCACUGCAUCCAGAUGUGGAGUCCUCAGUACAGGAGAGACAUAGACCUGUUGGGGCGUGAUCAGAAGAGGGCCACAAAAAUGGUCCCAGGGAUGGAAUACCACCUUCCAAGGACGGCUAAGAGAGCUGAGGCUGUGCAGCCUGGAGAAGAGAAGGCUCCAGGAAGACCUGAGAGUGGCCUUCAGUAUCUCAAGGGGGGCUGUAACAAAGGAGGGAACGGACUCUUUAGAUUCUUCAUAAGGAAGAAGUUUUCUAUGAUAAGCACCAUUCUGUGAUUCUGUAGUAAGGGUGGUGAGGCCCUGGAACAGGGACACUGAGAGAUCCUGGAGCCCUGAGGACUGGGCAUCAGGGCCUGGGGAUGGAUGGGAUGGAGGGCACCAUUCCUGGCCUGUUCCAGGGGCAUCUAGGCAUUGCCACCUCCCAGACCUUCCCUUGUGCUUUGUGGGGCUGUGCAGAGGAGGAGGAGGAGGUCACAGGGCACCCUAGGGAUGGCUCAGGGUCACCGUGCGGAUUGGACAGGGGCUGUAGUUGCUGUCCCCAGGGGACCCAGAUCCUGCCCUGGGCUGAUACCAGUCCUUCUUCCUGAAAUCCUGGGGCACAAACCCUGCCUCUUUGGUAGACAGCAUGGUUUGCUCAUUGUAGUGUAAAGAUUUGCUUUGGAUUUAAUCAAGCACAGAAUUCAGAGAGGAGCGUGACUGCAUCUGACUUCCCUGAGAGAUGGUACUGCAGCUGAAGAGAUGCAGAGGCAGCCAGUAACGUGCAGACCAAGCAGUACUGCCUGACGUUGGUCAGGAUGAACUUCUCCUGCUGCAGUGUGAUGAUGACAGGUCUGGAGAUGAUCUGCAAGUCCAGCUCAUAGGUGAGAGCCAGGCAUGGGCACUGCAGGAGCAGAGAGGUGUCAGGGAACAGCCAAGGCAUCAAAGAGCAUCACAAAGCAUUGAAAAGCGUCACAAAGCUGCAGCCAGGAAGCUGGGGAUUUUAAUGAGCAGCAACCAGGAUGCUAUUUGCUACCAUACAAAACAGUAGCAGAUCUCUCCCUGCAGACACCCCAAAGCCAUACAACGUGGGAACAAAGCCAGAGCUCUGCAGCACACAGCCAAAAGCCAUACCAUUGCAAGCUGAAGUGCCUUGCAGUUUUUUAUAUUGAACCCAGUCCCUGUGAAUGAAGACCCAGAACGGAGUCAAGGUGUUGAUUGAACAUGAGUAUGCCUUUACUCAUUAAAAGACAGAAGGGCAAGAGAGAUCCAGAGUAAAAGAGGGACUCCUCUGGGAAUUGAGAGACUAGUUCAGAGCUUGUGCUGCUGCCUGGUGCCUGGGACUGGCUGCCUGGCUCUAAGUCCGCCUCCAAGAAGCUCGGCUUCUCCUCAGCGAUGCCGACCUGCUCCUCAAGGAGGUGCUGCUGUUCAGGCACUUGGGCUCUGCUUGGGGUGGGCUGCACUGGAAAGGCAGUGGGUCACAAUCCAGGCUAGCGACUGUGAUGUCUGGCGGGCUCAGGUCAACAUCAUCAGCGGAGCCAGGAGAAAUGAGGGCAGGAACGUGGAUGAGCUCCUUAUCCCCAUUGUUGUUGUCAUGUGGAAGGCUGUCAUCAGAACUGCAGCGAUUCAUGCUUCCUAAGAGCUCUCCAUCGAAGGAAGCACACAGUGCAUCACUGCUGGUCCCGGGUCUUCUGGAUCAAAACUGCUUAGAUUCACCUAGGAAUGAACAGAUGGACAGGGACUGGUGAAGAGUAACCUACAAAACGCUGACUGCUGCAGAGGACCGGUUGGAAGACGGCUGCUCCACACGCCCAUCGUGCCACAGCAGCUCCUUGCUGGAUGUGCCUGUGAUAACUGGUUAGCUCCUGACAGCAAUCCCCUCACAGUGGGGAAGAAAGCAGCGCUUGCACAGCUGGUUUUAUGAGCACUAAACAAGCACAACUAAAAUGCUCAAGGGA
Molecule: long non-coding RNA, 2623 nt
Organism: Gallus gallus (chicken)
Lineage: Eukaryota; Metazoa; Chordata; Aves; Galliformes; Phasianidae
Exons: 2
Source: RefSeq, a predicted model, not a curated record